This 251-nucleotide ribosomal RNA is filed under the name uncultured prokaryote. RNAcentral's name for it is "partial 16S rRNA". It matches the Rfam family "Bacterial small subunit ribosomal RNA", at positions 525 to 775 of the family's 1533-position model. The record is from RNAcentral.
ACGGGGGGAGCAAGCGUUGUUCGGAAUCACUGGGCGUAAAGGGCGAGUAGGCGGUCAGGUAAGUGGAAUGUGAAAUGCCCCGGCUCACCCGGGGACCGGCAUCCCAAACUGCCUGGCUUGAGUAUGGGAGAGGAUGGAGGAAUUCCUGGUGUAGCGGUGUAAUGCGUAGAUACCAGGAGGAACACCGGUGGCGAAGGCUUCCAUGUGGCCCAAUACUGACGCUGAGGCUAGAAAGCUAGGGGAGCAAACGU